GGUAGCUUCCUGUAGCAAUAGAAACUUCACCUUGCGACGUUGUCUGUUGUCCUUUCGAAUCUCACAUCUCGUAUCUGAUCCACUUGCACCUGGAGCUCUACCUCGCACUGAACUUUCAUUGGCUUCUGAAGGUCCAUCUCGCACUGAGCUCCUUGCCAAGAGGUAGUGUCCUCUAUUCUUUCUUCCCCUCAUGACAAUCAUACUACCGUGCAAGACCUUUAGGAUUCCUGUUGGG
Molecule: long non-coding RNA, 235 nt
Filed under: Elaeis guineensis (African oil palm)
Lineage: Eukaryota; Viridiplantae; Streptophyta; Magnoliopsida; Arecales; Arecaceae
Description: long non-coding RNA (EGUI_LNC024447)
Source: RNAcentral